CUGACGGCACUGGAAACUGAAGUCCUCUUUUUGUCCACCAAACAGGUACAGCGUGAGUAGCAGCAGUACAAGCUUCACCACCCUGCCCCACCACAGUGCUGCACACCCUGGCCCAGAGAGGGGCCUCUAGCUAAGAGGGCUGGGAGGCUUGUUCAGUCUCCAUGCUCACUCAUUCCAUACU
RNAcentral lists this small RNA (181 nucleotides) under Nothoprocta perdicaria. Its description in RNAcentral is "TUC338 (ENSNPEG00000002854.1)". Lineage: Eukaryota; Metazoa; Chordata; Aves; Tinamiformes; Tinamidae. The record is from RNAcentral.